Cicer arietinum (chickpea) is the source of this 779-nucleotide non-coding RNA. NCBI's taxonomy places the organism in Eukaryota, Viridiplantae, Streptophyta, Magnoliopsida, Fabales, Fabaceae. The record is from RefSeq and is a predicted model, not a curated record.
UUAAUUUAUUGAAACAAAAUAUCCACAGUAUAUUAAAUAUCUACAAAAAUAUGUAGAAAGAAAAAAAAAACCGUAGAACGCUAAAAACAAAAAAACGAUUUGCAAAUAACAAUCAUAUAUUUAAUCCUAUUUUAUACUGUUAUCAUUUGUUAUGUGUGUGGGUGCUUAUCGAAGUGGUUUUGUCUUUUAUGUGUUGUGUUUGUUCCUCUUGUCUUGCAUCCCCGUUGGGCAUGUGGGAGCGCAGUGUGUGUACAUUGUUCAUUCAUUCAAUCUAGUUGCCGAAUAUAGAGAUAAAGUUACGCUUCACGUGGUCUGGGCAAAUUGCAUUCACUUUCUCCACUUCAGACCCUAUCGUUCCUAUUGGUCCGUCCAUUCCCUAUCUGUACAUACCAUAUUAUUAAUUAAUCCAUCACCACAAGCACAGCACCAAACAGAUUAGAGAAUUUCAUAUGAAUACCAUUAUCUGCAUAGCAAUAACACUAACUUUUUCAAUUUGUCACACAAAUAGAUGAAAGGGAAUGUGAGUACAGAUUGGAUUUUUUUUUUUUUUUUUAAAAAAAAAAAGAAAAGCUUUAUCUGUUUAUUGAUGUGUGAUGAAAGUCAAGAUAGCAAUGAGAAAAGUGGGUGGGAAAUGCUGAUGAUUGGAUUUGCACAUGAUGUAAAUUUCAUUUUUGGGUUUCAUGUGGGCACCGGUUUUUGUUUAUACAAGCGGGACAUUCCGUAAUAAUUGGAACUUGGAUCUAAAUUGUGUAUGCAACUGGAUUUAUUUAUGAUAUCGA